Monodelphis domestica (gray short-tailed opossum) is the source of this 30500-nucleotide non-coding RNA. Lineage: Eukaryota; Metazoa; Chordata; Mammalia; Didelphimorphia; Didelphidae. The record is from RefSeq and is a predicted model, not a curated record.
UGUCUCACUCUUCUCCCUUUCUACCCUUGCUUCUUUCCUAUCUAUCUAGCUAGCUAGCUAGCUAGCUAUCUUUCUUUCUAGCUAUCUAUCUUUCUUUCUUUUUUCUUUCUUUCUUUUAACAUUAUUUUAUUUGGUCAUUUACAAACAUUAUUCAUUGGAGACAAAGACCAUUUUCUUUUCUCCCCCCCCACCUCUCCCCCAGCCAACACACCAUUCCACUGGGUAUCACAUGUGUUCUUGAUUCAAACCCAUUUCCAUGUUGUUGGUAUUUGCAUUAGAGUGCUCAUUUAGAGUCUCUCCUCAGACAUGUUCCCUCAACCCCUGUAGUCAAGCAGUUGCUUUUCCUCUGUGUUUUUACUUCCACAGUUUAUCCUCUGCUUGUGGAUAGUGUUUUUUCUCCUAGAUCCCUGCAGAUUGUUCAGGGACAUUGCAUUGACACUAACAGAGAAGUCCAUUACAUUUGAUUGUACCACAGUGUAUCAGUCUCUGUGUACAAUGUUUUCCUGGCUCUGCUCAUUUCACUUUGCAUCACUUCCUGGAGGUUGUUCCAGCCUCCAUGGAAUUCCUCCACUUUAUUAUUCCUUUGAACACAAUAGUAUUCCAUCACCAACAGAUACCACAAUUUGUUCAGUCAUUCUCCAAUUGAAGGGCAUCCCCUCAUUUUCCAAUUUUGGGCCACCACAAAGAGCGUAGCUAUGAAUAUUCUUGUACAAAUCUUUUUCCUUAUUAUCUCUUUGGGGUACAAACCCAGCAGUGCUAUGGCUGGAUCAAAGGGCAGACAGUCUUUUUUCGCCCUUUGGCAUAAUUCCAGAUUGCCUUCCAGAAUGGUUGGAUCAAUUCACAAUUCCACCAACAAUGCAUUAAUGUCCAACUUUGCCACAUCCCCUCCAGCAUUCAUUACUUUCCAUUGCUGCCAUGUUAGCCAAUCUGCUAGGUGUGAGGUGAUACCUCAGAGUUGUUUUGAUUUGCAUCUCUCUGAUUAUAAGAGAUUUAGAACACUUUCAUAUGCCUAUUAAUAGUUUUGAUUUCUUUGUCUGAAAGCUGCCUAUUCAUAUCCCUUGCCCAUUUAUCAAUUGGAGAAUGGCUUGAUUUUUUGUACAAUUGACUUAGCUCUUUGUAAAUUUGAGUAACAAAACCUUUGUCAGAGGUUUUUAUUAAGAUUGUUUCUCGGGGACAGCUGGAUUGCUCAGUGGAUUGAGACCAGGCCUAGAGAUGGGAGGUCCUAGUUUCAAAUCUGGCCUCAGCCACUUCCUAGCUGUGUGACCCUGGGCAAGUCACUUGACCCCAUUGCCUAGCCCUUACCACUCUUCUGCCUUGGAGCCAAUACACAGUAUUGACUCCAAGAUAGAAGGUAAGGGUUUAAAAAAAAAAAAGAUUGUUUCCCAAUUUGUUGCUUCCCUUCUGAUUUUAGUUACAUUGGUUUUGUUUGUACAAAAGCUUUUUAAUUUGAUGUAGUAAAAAUUAUUUAUUUUACAUUUUGUGACUCUUUCUGAGUCUUGCUUGGUUUUAAAGUCUUUCUAUUCCCAAAGGCCUGACAUGUAUACUAUUCUGUGUUCACCUAAUUUACUUAUAGUUUCCUUCUUUAUAUUCAAGUCAUUCACCCAUUUUGAAUUUAUCUUGGUGUAGGGUGUGAGGUGUUGAUCCAAACCUAAUCUCUCCCACACUGCCUUCCAGUUUUCCCAGCAGUUUUUAUGGAAUAGUGGAUUUUUGUCCCCAAAGCUGGGAUCUUUGGGUUUAUCAUAUACUGUCUUGCUGAGAUCACUUGCCCCAAGUCUAUUUCACUGAUCCUCCUUUCUGUCUCUUAGCCAGUACCAAAUUGUUUUGAUGGCCACUGCUUUGUAAUAUAGUUUGAGAUCUGGGACUGCAAGGCCACCUUCCUUUGUAUUUUUUUCCCAUUAUUUCCCUGGAUAUCCUUGAUCCUUUGUUCUUCCAAAUGAACUUUGUUAUGGCUUUUUUCUAAAUCAGUAAAGAAAUUUUUUGGAAGUUCCAUGGGUAUGGCACUAAAUAGAUAAAUAAGUUUGGGUAGGAUGUUCAUUUUUAUUACAUUGGCUCGUCCUACCAAUGAUUAGUUAAUGUUUUUCCAAUUGCUCAAGUCUAGUUUUAGUUCUGUGGAGAAUGUUUUGUAGUUGUGUUCAUAUACUUCCUGUGUUUGUCUCAGGAGAUAGAUUCCUAGGUAUUUUAUUUUGUCUAAGGUGAUUUUGAAUGGGAUUUCUCUUUCUAGUUCUUGCUGCUGAGCUGUGUUGGACAUAUAUAGAAAUGCUGGUGACUUAUGCAGGUUUAUUUUGUAUCCUGCAACUUUGCUAAAGUUGUUGAUUAUUUUGAUUAGCUUUUUGGUUGAUUCUCUAGGAUUCUUUAAGUAGACCAUCAUGUCAUCUGCAAAGAGUGAUAACUUGGUCUCCUCCUUGCCUAUUUUAAUGCCUUCAAUUUCUUUUUCUUCUCUAAUUGCUACUGCUAGUGUUUUUAGUACAAUGUCAAAUAAUAGAGGUAUAAUGAGCAUCCUUAUUUCACUCCUGAUCUUAUUGGGAAUGCAUCUAGUUUAUCCCCAUUGCAGAUGAUAUUAGCUGAUGGUUUUAGAUAUAUACUGUUUAUUAUUUUUUAGGAAUGACCCUUCUAUUCCUAUACUUUCUAGUGUUUUUAAUAGGAAUGGGUUUUGUAUUUUAUCAAAGGCUUUUUCUGCAUCUAUUGAAAUAAUCAUAUGAUUUUUGUCAGUUUACUUGUUGAUAUGGUCAAUUAUGUGGAUGGUUUUCCUAAUAUUGAACCAGCCCUGAAUCCCUAGUAUAAAUCCUACUUGAUCAUGGUGAAUGACCCCUGUGAUGACUUGCUGGAGUCUUUUUGCUAGUAUCCUAUUUAAGAUUUUUGCAUCUAUAUUCAUUAGGGAUAUUGGUCUAUAAUUUUCUUUCUCUGUUUUUGACCUACCUGGUUUUGGAAUCAGUACCAUGUUUGCGUCAUAAAAGGAAUUUGGUAGAACUCCCUCUUUGCUUAUUCUGUCAAAUAGUUUGUAUAGUAUUGGGAUUAGCUGUUCUUUGAAUGUUUGAUAGAAUUCACUUGUGAAUCCAUCAGGCCCUGGGGAUUUUUAAUUAGGGAGUUCUUUGAUGGCCUGUUGGAUUUCAUUUUCUGAUACGGGAUUAUUUAAGAAUUCUAUUUCUUCUUCUGUUAGUCUAGGCAGUUUAUAUUUUUGUAUAUAUUCGUCCAUAUCACCUAGAUUGGGUAUAUUUAUUGCCAUAUAAUUGGGCAAAGUAAUUUUUAAUGAUUACCUUAAUUUCCUCUUCAUUGGAGGUGAGUUCCCCCUUUUCAUCUUUGAUGCUGUUAAUUUGCUUUUCUUCUUUCCUUUUUUUAAAUUAGAUUGACCAGUACUUUGUCUAUUUUGUUUGUAUUUUCAAAGUACCAGCUUCUAGUCUUAUUUAUUAGUUUAAUAGUUCUAUCACUUUCAAUUUUAUUACUUUCCCCCUUAAUUUUUAGGAUCUCUAGUUUGGUUUUCUUCUAGGGGUUUUAAUUUGUUUGCUUUCAAGUUUUUUUUAUUUGCAUUUCCAAUUCAUUGAUCUCUGCCCUCCCUAGUUUGUUAAAAUAUGCACUCAGGGAUAUGAAUUUUCCUCUGAUUACUGCUUUGGCUGCAUCCCAUAAGGUUUGAAAGAAUGUUUCACCAUUGUCAUUUUCCUUGAUAAAAUUAUUAAUUGUUUCUAUGAUUUGUUCUCUAACUAACCAAUUUUGGAGUAUCAUAUUAUUUAAUUUCCAAUUAAUUUUUGAUUUGUUUGUCCAUGUACCCUUACUGAUCAUUAUUUUUAUUGCCUUAUGAUCUGAAAAGACUGCAUUUAUUAUUUCUGCUUUUCUGCAUUUGUAUGCCAUGUUUCUGUGACCUAGUGUAUAGUCAAUCUUUGUGAAUGUGCCAUGUGGUUUUGAGGAGAAUGUGUAUUCCUUUUUGUCCCUAUUUAUUUUUCUCCAUAUGUCUAUUAACUCUAGUUUUUCUAAGAUUUCAUUCACAUCUUUUCCUCUUUCUUAUUUAUUUUUUGAUUUGAUUUAUCUAAAUUUGAUAGUGGUUAGUUCAAAUCUCCCACUAAUAUGGUUUUACUGUCUAUUUCCUCCUUCAAUUCUCCUAGUUUCUCCAUUAGAAAUUUGGGUGCUAUACUAUUUGGUGCAUACAUGUUGAUUAGUGAUAUUUCCUCAUUAUCUAAAGUCCCUUUAAACAAAAUAUAUUUACCUUCCCUAUCCGUUUCAAUCAGGUCUAUUUUUGCUUUGGCUUUGUCAGAUAUCAUGAUUGCAACUUCUGCCUUCUUUCUAUCAGUUGAGGCCCAGAAGGUCUUACUCCAUCCUUUAAUUCUGACCUUGUGAGUGUCUAUCCGCCUCAUGUGUGUUUCUUUUUUUUUUUAACCCUUACCUUCUGUCUUGGAGUCAAUACUCUGUAUUGGCUCCAAGGCAGAAGAGUGGUAAGGGCUAGGCAAUGGGGGUCAAGUGACUUGCCCAGGGUCACACAGCUGGGAAGUGUCUGAGGUCAGAUUUGAACCUAGGACCUCCCAUCUCUAGGACUGGCUCUCAAUCCACUGAGCUACCCAGCUGCCCCCUCUCAUGUGUGUUUCUUGAAGACAACAUAUGGUAGGGUUUUGGAUUCUAAUCCAUUCUGCUAUUCAUUUACAUUUUAUGGGUGAGUUCAUCCCAUUCACAUUCAAAGUUAUGAUUGUCACUUGUGGACUCCCUGACAUUUUGAUAUCCUCCCCUAAUUCUGACCUUUCUUCUUUAGCUAUAACCUUUUAAGCCAGUGAUUUACUUUAAAUAAGUCCCCCUAGUCCCCUCCCUUGAUAUGUUUCCCUUUCUAGCCCCUCCCUUUUUGUUCCCUCCCCCUCCCCCCUCUCUUUCCCUCCCUUUUUGUGUUCCCUCCCCUCCUACCCCUCUUGGUUUUCCCUUCUCCCUUACCCCAUUGGAUAAGAUAAAAUUCAAGAUCCCAAUGGAUCUGGAUGCUCUUCCCUCUCAGAGUUGAUUUCACUGAGAGUAAGGUUUAAGUAAAAACUCUCUUUCUCUCUUUCUUAUAGGAGAAUUCUUCCCCUCCUCUUCCCAUGUGUAUCUUUGUGUGAGAAAGAUUAUUCUAUUUAGUUUUUUUUCCUAUUUCUUGGAGUAUAUCUUAGUACCAUCAAUGAUUCCCCCCUCCCUUUUUCUUUCUAUCCCCCCUUUCUCCAUAUCUUCUUGAUGCCUCAAACUUUCCCUAUGAGUGAUUCUUCUUACUAUUCUAAUGAUGCAUACAAUUUUUGAGGGUUACACAUUACAUUUCCCCCACAUAUUAAUAUAUAUAAAUUGAUAUAAAUAUAAUCCUUAUAGAAGAGAGUUUGAAUAAAAGAAAAAUAUAACAUUUUUUUCCUUUUCCCUUUCCUUCAUAUUUACCUUUUCAUGUUUCUCUUGCUCUUUGUGUUUGGAUAUCAAACUUUUCACAGAGUUCUGGUCUUUUCUUUUCAAAUGUUUGGAAAUCUUGUAUUUUGUUGAAUGCCCAUACUUUCCCCUGGAAGUAUAUAGUCAGUUUUGAUGGAUAGCUGAUUCUUGGUUGAAGACCCAGCUCUCUUACUUUUCUGAAUAUCAUGUUCCAUGUCUUACGGUCGUUCAGAGUGGAAAUUGCUAGGUCCUGUGUGACCCCGAUUGGUGUUCCUUUAUAUCUAAAUUGUCUUUUUCUGGCUUCUUGUAAGAUUUUUUCUUUUGCUUGGAAGCUCUGGAAUUUGGCAAUUACAUUCCUGGGAGUUGUCUUUUGGGGAUUUAGUGUAGAGGGUGUUCUGUGAACUCUUUCAAUGCAUAUUUUGUUCCCUAUUUCUAGAAUCUCUGGGCAGUUUUCUUUGAUGAUAUCAUGUAUUAUGAUAUCAAGAUUACUGUUUUUCUCUGUUUUUUGGGGCAGACCAGUGAUUCUCAAGUUGUCUCUCCUUCCUCUGUUUUCCAGGUCUGUCACCUUGUCAGUGAGAUAUUUUAUGUUGUGUUCUAAUUCUUUAGUCUUUUGACUUUGUUUUAUUAAUUCUUACUCGUUUGCAAGAUUAUUGUCUUCCAGUUGCCUGAUUCUGACCUUUAAAGACUGGUUUUCCUUUUCAGUUUGGUCUGACAUGUUUUUUGAGGCUUCGAGCUGUUUCUGCAUUUGCAUAUUUUGGUCUCUCAUAUUGCUGAGUUCCUUUUGCAUUGUUUCCCAUUUUUCCUGCCAGAAGGCUUCCAUCUUUUUUAUAAUUUCCCAUUUAAAUUCUUUAAGAGUUUGUGGAGAAUUUCCGUUUCCUUUGGAAGGUUUUGGAGUAUUUAUUUGUGUUUCCUCUCCUAUCUCCUCUGCAUUUUGUAUUUUUGCUCCAUAAAAUGUGUCCAAAGUCACCCUCUUCUUCUUGCUUUUCUUGGUUUUUUCAGGCUUUUGCACUUCUGUACUGUUUGCCAUCUCUAUCUGAGUGAGGAGGACUGGCUCUUAGUGUAUCUGUCUGAUGGUCCGAGGCUUUAGCCCCAGGCAAAUUGUCUGUUCUCCAUUCUCCUCAGCUGUGCUGUCUUCCUGGGGAAGCCCAGGGUCUUCCCUCCCCUGCCUACUGGUGUUUCAGGUGUUACUGCUCUCAGUUCCCUCCAGUUGCUUCUCCACUGCCUUACUUCCACGCUUUGAGCCUGGCACAGCACUGUUUGCAAGGUACCUUAGUGCCUUUGCCAGCCCUGAGGUUUCUGUCCUUUCAGAAGACCCUGCACUCUAAGGGGGGAGGGGUUCUGGCCUCCCUGAACUCUGAGGGCUCCUGAUGGGAUUAGGUUCAACUGGGUUGGUCUGGAUGUGCCCCGAAGCAAAAACCUUCACUGCCAUCUGUAUUGGAUGCCCUGAGACUGGCCCAGGUUACUUUUAAGGUACGCCCUUUGGAGCAACCCCUUUGCAAGCCCCGAGGUUUCUGUCCUUUCAGAGGACCCUGCACUUUAAGGGUGGAGGGGUCCUGGCCUCCCUGAACUCUGAAGGCUCCUGUUGGGAUUAUGUUCAGCUGGGUUGGACUGGAUGUGUCCCAAAGCAAAAACCUCUGAGACUCAGAUGGAGCCCCCCGUCUCUCUCUGUUUCCCUGCCAUCUGUGUUGGAUGCUCUCGAGACUGGCUCAGGUUGCUUUCAAGGUGCUCCCUUCAGAACAGCCAGCCCUGGGGCCCUUUUUCUGGCCCUGAUGUUCCUGCUGCUGCCACGGGCUCAGCACUCUGGGUUGGGGGGGAGGGGUCCUGGGACCUUCCUUCUGCUUUCCCCUUAGACCUGAGUGAUCUAGGAUUCCGGCUUUUGGGGGGUGUACCUUUUGAUCCGAGUCCAGGAGGAGGUUCCCCGGCUAUGUCCUGUUGUUAAGUUUGAAUUUCAAUCCCCUAGGAGCAUUCAGUUUGUGAUCGGUAAGGAAGGGUUUUCAGAGGCCUGAACUUUUGCUGCCUCUAAGCCACCAUCUUGACUGGAAAUCUCCUAUCUAUCUUUCUAAUCUGUGAAAAUGUCUUCUUUAGUAGAGUAUAAACUCCUUUAGGGUAUGGACUCACAUUUGGUAAUAGCAUCUAUUUUAUAUGUUAGGGAGUAGAAUCUAAUAACAAAGAAAAUAAUAAAAAGCCUCUUAAAGGCUUUGACUCUAAGGUUGAGUCUAAAAGGUGCAAAGGUUUCCUAAGAGUCAGAGGUGAAGAAGAGCAUACUAGACAAGGAUGAAGGAGGUAAGAGAUGAAGUGUCAGUCCUAGAGUAUAAGACUAGAAGAAAUCUAAGGGAACACCCAAGUUUAUGGACCUAGAGAAUGGAGAAGUUAAAUGACUUGAAUAAAUGUUUAGUGAAUUAAAUUGCCCAAGAACAUACAAAAUGGUAAGCAAUAGAUCUUAGAUUCAAACCCCAAGUUCAGUAUCCUUGUUCUUCUAUAAAAUGUCACCCCUCAGCCUGGUGUGCCUCCUCUCAUCUAUACUUUCAGGUUAGACUGAUCUUGAUUUACUAAUUUGCAAUUAUGGUUCCACUGAGUCAAAGAAUCAUAGACUUAGAGCUAGAAAGGAAUUUAGAGGUGUUUAAAUCCCACCUCAUUUCACAGAUGAGGAAACUAGAGGAAGUUGGGAGGAGUAGAGAAAAUGGGCUUUUAUUAAGCACUUACUUUCUGUCAGGUACAAGAGAUUGGAACUGAGGCUAGAACCCAGGUCUUUUAUCCUCUGUUUGGUGCUUCCUCAGGAAUCCUAUUGUACUGGAUCAGGUCAAUUCAAUUUCAAUUCAAAAGAUAAUUAUUCAGUUCCACAAACAGGAUGGCAUAGUGGAAAGAGUACUGAAAAUGGAGUCAUGAAAGACUUGGGUUCUUGUCCCAUCUCUGGCUCUUAUUAGUGACAUGACAAUGGGCAAGUCAUUUAACUGGAGUCCCAGUUUCAUCAUCUGUAAAAUGGAAAUAACAAUAAUUAUGCUACCAAACUUACAUGGUUGUUUUAGGGGUCAAUUUCCAAAUCUGAAAGACCUAUAGUAAUAUGCUGCUAUUACUGAACACAGCUGGGAACAAAAAGAUUACCAAAACCUAUGCAUUUUUGCCUUCAAGAAGCUUACUUGGGAUAUUCUCCAAAUAGACACAGAAACAAACAGAUAAAUGAUACAUGUAAACAGAUAAGUAUAAUACAGAUGUAAAGGUGUGUGUACAUUGCUCAUGAAGGUUCUGUAUCUGUUUUGUCUAAAUGCAGUUCAUGGGGAAGCAUGAAUCUUUCCCUACCUGGAGGAGUGUUGGAGAAGAGGUCAUAAGCUAGCUGCUCUGUUCUGUUCUUCUCGGAAAAAGGGUACCAGACCAGAAUUAUAUUUACACCCCCCACACCACACCCCAAUUGCUGGUUAUGGGUAAUUAUUUAUCUUAGGUUCAAGAUGCUUCUCUGAUGGCUGUCUUGGAAAAGAGAAGGGGUACUGGGCUUUCACACACAGACCUGGUUCUCUCCUGGUACCCAGUUCUGCCUAUAUCAUCCUUUUGCUCAGAAUCAUAGGAUCACAGAUAUAGAGUGAGAAGGCAUCUCAUUGAGCUCAUCACCACCACCACCACCCAUUUUAUAGAUAAGGAAGCUGUGGCAUAGAGAUGAUUCACUCAGUAUCAUCAGCUAGUAUCUGAAGAGGGAUGUGAACGUGGGUCUCUCUAACCACACAUCUAGGGCACUGUCUACCACACCAUUCUGUCUCUCUUCAUUGAUUCCCUCUUGCUUUUAGCACUUUGGUGGCUCCAUGAUCUCAUCAAUGUGGUCACAACUGAUGUUCCCCUUCUCAUCCUGUGCAAUUUUUGUCAGUUUCCCCUGUCCAAUGCCUUCCUCUAAGCCAUUUAACAUUGCAUGGGUAUGUGAACAGAUGCAAUAAUGUAAGCAGAACCAGGAAGACAACAGACACUAUAGCAUUAUCAAUGGAAAAAACAACCACAAUAAACAAAAAUCAAAACAGCAUGGAACUAUCAUGACCUUGCUUGGCCUCAAAGAAGAGAUAUGAGAAAGCACAUUCUUCCCUGUUGGACAGAGGUGUGGAACACUACAUCUAAUGUACCUGGUUAAUGUGUUAGUUAGGUAGUCAGAUGGCUCAGAGGAUAUGGAACAAUGGUCAGGAAGACCUGAGUUCAAAUUCAGCCUCAGUCUUUACCAGCUGCAUGACCCUAGGCAAGUCAAUUAAAUUUGUCUGCCUGGGUUUCCUGAUCUAUAACAUGGAAAUAAAAAUUUAAAUAGCAGAGUUGUUGUAAGGAUCAAAUCAGAUAAUAUUGUAAAGUAUUUUGCAAAUUGUAAAAUGCUAUAUAGGGACAACUGGGUGGCUCAGUGGAUUGAGAGCCAGACCUAGAGAUGGGAUGUCCUGAGUUCAAAUCUGGCCUUAGACACUUCCUAGCUGUGUGACCCUAGGCAAGUCACUUAGCUUCCAUUGCCUAGCCCUUACCACUCUUCUGCCUUAGAACCAAUACAUGGUAUUGAUUCUCAGUCAGAAGAUAAGAAUUUAAAAGAAUAAAGUGCUAUAUAAAUGAUAGCUAUAUUUUUCCCCCUUAGAGUGUUUUUUUUCCUUUGUUAUGAGAGAUGGCUCUCUGAAAAGGCUAAGGGGAACAAUAUAGAUUUGGAAAUAAAGACAAUGUAAAAACCAAAGAUAAUAUUUUCUUUAAAAAGCAUUAUGUGGGUAUAAUGGGUAUAAUAUAGCACUUGGGCUAUCUGACCCUAAUCUCACCCUCUUCAAAGUGAUUAGCCUAACUCAUUUUUCUAAUCAUAUACAUCCUAAAAAUCUUUUAUACUACUUCAUGACCACAAAUGAUCAGUGGUGAUAAGCUGCAGCCUAUUUAUACCCAACACACAUCUCUCUAUUGCCCUUGGAGUCACAUGCAAUUUUGAUUCUUCAGUAAUUUAGGCAUCCCAAGAUUCACAGGUAUACAGUCUCAUCUGGAGACUUGCUGUUAAAAAGAUGAGUUUUGGUGUCAAGAAGCAUCUUGGGAUCCUUGAAAGCAUUGGGCAGUUUCCCAAAUGAAAUCCAAACUUGCUCCAUUCCUCUUAUUCAAUAAUGAUGACAGCUCCUCUGAGAUACCCUUGCAGUGAUUGUCUGAGAUAUAUGUACCCAUGGACUUGGACAACAAAUGGGCUGCCUACUCAACUGCACAUCAGAGUCUGGAAAAUAGGCUUUCUUCAAUCAUUUGAUUUAUUCUGUGUGAAAUACUUGCCCGAUCUCUUUUUGAAUGAAUCUCACUGAAAAGGCCCUAUAGUAUUGUAUUGUUAGAUGCAAUCAGCACAGUUAUUUGUGACCAGUCACACCUGGUAAACCUCUCCCUCUCUCUCUCUCUCUCUCUCUCUCUCUCUCUCUCUCUCUCUCUCUCUCUCUCUCUCUCUCUUUAAUUCUUGGGAUCAUGUUGCUUCCUCUUCUUUUUGGGCUCCAUACAGGACAUCUUCAAUGGCAGCAGGGAAUGAUUUAGGCAAGAACACAAUUCAUUGUUUUAUGCCUUGCUUGGGAUUGAUAAUAGGAGAAUCUCUUAAUAACAUUGCUUCUUAUGAUAGCAAAUAGGCAGAAAACAAACUAUGUGCCCACUAAUUGGGGAACAAAUUGUGCUCUGUGAGUAGAAUGAAAUAUUGCACUGUUCCUACUUUUAGGGAAUGUGCUUUGAAGAAGUAGGUUUUGUGGGUGUUUGGGGAGCUAUACUGACCCCUUCAAAAAGACCAACAAAUACCUAUGAUGAUAUGGAUGUCCUGUUAUUGUAGAAAGAGCAUUAGCCUGGAACUAGGAAAACCUAUGUUUGGUUCCUAAAUCUAAUACCUACUUAGCUGUGUGACCAUGGACAAUUCACUGAGCCUCAGUUUCCUCAUUUAUAAAAUGGUCAUAACUGGAGGGAUCAGAAGUUGGAGGAAAAAGCAUUUAUUAAAUAUCUUCUCUAUGCCAAGAUCUAUUCUAAGAGCUUUACACAUAUCUCAUUUGAUCCUCAUAACAAUCUUGUGAUAUAAGUGCUAUUAUUAUCCUCAUUUUGCAGUUGAGGAAACUGAGACAGGAGUUAAAUGAUAUGUGUUCAGAGCCACACAAGUUGGGAAGUAUCUGAGGCCAUCUUUGAAUUCAGAUCUUCUUGUUACCAGGUCUAGUAUUGUAUUCAUUGGGCCACCUGGUAUCUACCCUCAGAGUUGUUAUGAAGCUCAAAUAUUAUAACAUUUAGUCAAUAAGCAUUUAUUAGGGACCUACUAUGUGCCUGGCACUGUGCUAAGCACUGGGGAUAGGAAGAAAUUUUAAAGUUAGUCCUUUCCUUCAAGGAAGUUAGUCUAAUGGGGGGAGACAAGAUACAAACAGCUUUGUACAAACAAGAUCUAGACAAUAAAUUGGUGAUAAACUCAGAGGAAAGACACUAAUAUGAAGGACUGGGAAAGGCUUCUCAUAGAAAAUGGGAUUUUAGCUUAGUCUUGAAGGAAGCCAAAAAACCAGAAAUUAGAGGUGAGGAAGGAAAGAAUUCUAGGCAAAGGAAAAAGUGGUGAAAACAAUGGAGUAAGGAGUGUCUGUGUGAAGACCAGCAAGGAAACCAGUGUCACUGAAUCACAACGUCCAUGGAGGGAUAUAGUGGGUGAGGAGCUUAGAAAGGUAGAGGAAGGAAAGGCAGGUUAUAAAGGCUUUUGACACCAAGCAGAGAAUUUUGUAGCUGAUCUUGGAGGUGACAGAGAUUUAUUGGAAUUUAUUGACUAGGCAGUGGCAUGAUCAGAUCUAUACUUUUGUUGAUGAGUCGUUUUCAGUCAUGUCUGAGUUUUUGUGAUCUCAUUUGGGGUCUUCUUGGCAAAGUUACUGAAAUAAUUUGCCAUUUCCUUCUCCAGGUCAUUGAUAGAUGAAGAAACUGAGGCAAAUAGGGUAAAGCAACUUGCCCAAGGUCACAUAGCUAGUAUCUAAGAUUGGCUCUGAAUUCAGAGUUUCCUGACUCCAAGCUGAGUGCUCUAUCCAUUGCACCACCUAGCUGCCUGAUUUUUUUCUUUAAAGAGAUCAUUUUGACAGUUGAAUGGAAGAUGGACUAUAAAGAGGAGAGACUUGAGGCAAGAAGACAGGAUAGAAGAGGUACAGAGAUGGCCUGGAAGCCAGGAAGUCAUAUAUUGACUAUGACUGUGAGCAAGUCACUUAACCUCUUUACUGCUUGGAUAACUUUCUUUAAAAAAAAAAAACCUGUAUUUUAUUUGGUCAUUUCAAAACAUUAUUCAUUGGAGACAAAGAUCAUUUUCUUUUCCUGCCCCACCCCCCAGCCGACCGCGCGAUUCCACUGGGUAUCACAUGUGUUCUUGAUUCAAACCUAUUUCCAUAUUGUUGGUAUUUGCAUUAGUGUGCUCAUUUAGAGUCUCUUCUCAGACAUGUCCCCUCAACUCCUGUAGUCAAGCAGUUGCUUUUCCUCUGUGUUUUUACUCCCACAGUUUGUCCUCUGUUUGAGGAUAGUGUUUUUUCUCCUAGAUCCCUGCAGAUUGUUCAGGGACAUUGCAUUGACACUAAUGGAGAAGUCCAUUACGUUCGAUUGUACCACAGUGUAUCAGUCUCUGUGUACAAUGUUUUCCUGGUUCUGCUCCAUUCGCUCUGCAUCACUUCUUGGAGGUUGUUCCAGUCUCCAUGGAAUUCCUCCACUUUAUUAUUCCUUUUAGCACAAUAGUAUUCCAUCACCAACAUAUACCACAAUUUGUUCAGCCAUUCUCCAGUUGAAGGGCAUCCCCUCAUUUUCCAAUUUUUGUCCACCACAAAGAGAGCUGUCAUGAAUAUUCUUGUACAAGUCUUUUUCCUUUUUAUCUCUUUGGGAUAUAGACCCAGCAGUGCUAUGGCUGGAUCAAAGGGCAGACAGUCUUUUUUCGCCCUUUGGGCAUAGUUCCAGAUUGCCCUCCAGAAUGGUUGGAUCAAUUCACAACUCCACCAGCAAUGAAUUAAUGUCCCAACUUUACCACAUCCCCUCCAGCAUUCAUUACUUUCCUUUGCUGUCAUGUUGACCAAUCUGCUCAGUGUGAGGUGAUACCUCAUAGUUCUUUUGAUUUGCAUCUCUCUGAUUAUAAGAGAUUUAGAUUGACAGUAUCCAAGAUGAAAAGGGAGACCUCACCUCUAAUGAAGAGGAAAUCAAGGCAAUCAUUAAAAACUACUAUGCCCAAUUAUAUGGUAAAAAAUAUGGCAAUCUAAGUGAUAUGGAUGAAUAUUUACAAAAAUAUAAAUUGCCUAGACUAAAAGAAGAAGAAAUAAAUUACCUAAACAAUCCCAUAUCAGAAAAAGAAAUUGAACAAGCCAUCAAAGAACUCCCUAAGAAAAAAUCCCCAGGUCCAGAUGGAUUCACAAAUGAAUUCUAUCAAACAUUCAAAGAACAGCUAACCCCAAUACUAUACAAACUAUUUGACAUAAUAAGCCAAGAAGGGGUUCUAAUAAAUUCUUUUUAUGGCAUAAACAUGGUACUGAUCCCAAAGCCAGGCAGGUUAAAAACAGGGAAAGAAAACUAUAGGCCAAUCUCCAUAAUGAAUAUAGAUGCAAAAAUCUUAAAUAGGAUACUAGCAAAAAGACUCCAGCAAGUCAUCACAAGGAUUAUUCACUAUGACCAGGUAGGAUUCAUACCAGGAAUGCAAGGAUGGUUCAAUAUUAGGAAAACCAUCCACAUAAUUGACCAUAUCAACAAGCAAACUGACAAAAAUCACAAGAUUAUCUCAAUAGAUGCAGAAAAAGCAUUUGAUAAAAUACAACACUCAUUCCUAUUAAAAACACUAGAAAGUAUAAGAAUAGAAGGGCCUUUCCUAGAAAUAAUAAACAGUAUAUAUCUAAAACCAUCAGCAAACAUCAUCUGCAAUGGGGAAAAACUUGAAGCCUUCCCAAUAAGAUUAGGAGUCAAACAAGGAUGCCCAUUAUCACCGCUAUUAUUUAACAUUGUACUAGAAACACUAGCAGUAGCAAUUAGAGAAGAAAAAGAAAUUGAAGGUAUUAAAAUUGGCAAAGAGGAGACCAAGCUGUCACUCUUUGCGGAUGAUAUGAUGAUUUACUUAAAGAAUCCUAGGGAAUCAGCCAAAAAGCUAAUCAAAAUAAUCAACAACUUUAGCAAAGUUUCAGGAUACAAAAUAAACCUACAUAAGUCAUCAGCAUUUCUAUAUAUCUCCAACCCAGUUCAGCAGCAAGAAUUAGAAAGAGAAAUUCCAUUUAAAAUCACCCAAGUCAAUAGAAAAUACUUAGGAAUCUAUCUGCCGAGACAAACACAGGAACUAUAUGAACACAACUACAGAACAUUCUCCACACAAUUAAAACUAGAUCUAAACAAUUGGAAAAACAUUGAUUGCUCAUGGGUGGGACGAGCUAACAUAAUAAAAAUGACCAUCCUACUCAAACUUAUCUAUCUAUUUAGUGCCAUACCCAUUGAACUACCAAAAAACUAUUUUACUGAAUUAGAGAAAACCAUAACAAAGUUCAAUUGGAAGAAUAAAGGAUCAAGGAUAUCCAGGGAAAUAAUGAAAAAAAAAAUACAAAGGAAGGGGUCCUUGCAGUCCCAGAUCUCAAACUAUAUUAUAAAGCAGUGGUAAUCAAAACAAUUUGGUACUGGCUAAUAGACAGAAAGAAGGAUCAGUGGAAUAGACUUGGGGCAAGUGAUCUCAGCAAAACAGUCUAUGACAAACCCAAAGACCCCAGCUUUUGGGACAAAAAUCCACUAUUUGAUAAAAACUGCUGGGAAAAUUGGAAGACAGUAUGGGAGAGAUUAGGUUUGGGUCAACAUCUCACACCCUACACCAAGAUAAACUCAGAAUGGGUGAAUGACUUGAAUAUAAAGAAGGAAAAUAUAAGUAAAUUAAGUGAACACAGAAUAGUAUACAUGUCAGACCUUUGGGAAGGGAAAGAUUUUAAAACCAAGCAAGACUUAGAAAGAGUCACAAAAUGCAAAAUAAAUAAUUUUGACUACAUCAAAUUAAAAAGCUUUUGUACAAACAAAACCAAUGUAACUAAAAUUAGAAGGAAAGCAACAAAUUGGGAAACAAUCUUCAUAACAAAAACCUCUGACAAAGGUCUAAUUACUCAAAUUUAUAAAGAGCUAAACCAGUUGUACAAUUCUCCAAUUGAAAAAUGGGCAAGGGACAUGAAUAGGCAAUUUUCAGUUAAAGAAAUCAAAACUAUUAAUAAGCACAUGAAAAAGUGUUCUAAAUCUCUUAUAAUCAGAGAGAUGCAAAUCAAAACAACUCUGAGGUAUCACCUCACACCGAGCAGAUUGGUCAACAUGACAGCAAAGGAAAGUAAUGAAUGCUGGAGGGGAUGUGGCACAGUAGGGACAUUAAUGCAUUGCUGGUGGAGUUGUGAAUUGAUCCAACCAUUCUGGAGGGCAAUUUGGAACUAUGCCCAAAGGGCGAAAAAAGACUGUCUGCCCUUUGAUUCAGCCAUAGCACUGCUGGGUUUGUACCCCAAAGAGAUAAUAAGGAAAAAGACUUGUACAAGAAUAUUCAUAGCUGUGCUCUUUGUGGUGGCCAAAAAUUGGAAAAUGAGGGGAUGCCCUUCAAUUGGAGAAUGGCUGAACAAAUUGUGGUGGAAUACUAUUGUGCUAAAAGGAAUAAUAAAGUGGAGGAAUUCCAUGGAGACUGGAACAACCUCCAGGAAGUGAUGCAGAGCGAAAGGAGCAGAACCAGGAAAACAUUGUACACAGAGACUGAUACACUGUGGUAGAAUCGAAUGUAAUGGACUUCUCCAUUAGUGUCAAUGCAAUGUCCCUGAACAAUCUGCAGGGAUCUAGGAGAAAAAACACUAUCCUCAAGCAGAGGACAAACUGUGGGAGUAAAAACACAUAGGAAAAGCAACUGCUUGACUACAGGGGUUGAGGAGACAUGUCUGAGGAGAGACUCUAAAUGAGCACCCUAAUACAAAUACCAACAACAAGGAAAUGGGUUCAGAGCAAGGACACAUGUGAUACCCAGUGGAAUCGCCUGUCGGCUAGGGGAGGGGUGGAGGGUGGGGAGGAGGAAGAGAAAAUGAUCUGUUUCCAAUGAGUAAUGUAUGAAAAUGACCAAAUAAAAUAAUGUUUUAAAAACUAAAAACAGAAAAAAGAGAUUUAGAACACUUUUUCAUGUCCUUAUUAAUAGUUUUGAUUUCUUUAUCUGAAAACUGCCUAUUCAUGUCCCUUGCCCAUUUUUCAAUUGGAGAAUGGCUUGAUUUUUUGUACAAUUGAUUUAGCUCUUUGUAAAUUUGAGUAAUUAAACCUUUGUCAGAGGUUUUUAUUAAGAUUGUUUCCCAAUUUGUUGCUUCCCUUCUGAUUUUAGUUACAUUGGUUUUGUUUGUACAAAAGCUUUUUAAUUUGAUGUAAUCAAAAUUAUUGAUUUUACAUUUUGUGACUCUUUCUAUGUCUUGCUUGCUUUUAAAAUCUUUCCCCUCCCAAAGGUCUGACAUGUAUACUAUUCUGUGUUCACCUAAUUUACUUAUAGUUUCCUUCUUUAUGUUCAAGUCAUUCACCCAUUCUGAGUUUAUCUUGGUGUAGGGUGUGAGAUGUUGAUCCAAACCUAAUCUCUCCCACAUUGUCUUCCAAUUUUCCCAGCAGUUUUUAUCGAAUAGUGGAUUUUUGUCCCAAAAGCUGGGAUCUUUGAGUUUAUCAUAUACUGUUUUGCUGAGAUCACUUGCCCCAAGUCUAUUCCACUGAUCUUUCUUUCUGUCUUUUAGCCUUGGAUAACUUUCUAAGACUAAAAGUUGUACAAAAAAUGUUAACCUGCAUUGGUAAUGGGAGUGUCCCCAUCUGAGAGUAUUGCAUAUCAACAGAAUCACAGGUCCAGUCCCUCUUCCUUAAUAGAUUCAGUCCAACAUUCUGGUGGUUUAUGAUCCUUUUUUUGGAUUCUCCACUUUGUUAUCCAAUGUUAGUCUACUCUCCUAGCUUUGCACCACCUACAAAUUUGAUAAUUAUGCUAUAUUAGAUUCCUUCAAGUAGUUGUAAAAAAAAAAAUUCAUCUCUCUGGAAGCACUCCACCAAAGAGUUUUCUGAGCUGAAAUGGAACUAUUAAUGAUUACCUUUGGAGGUAGGUCAAAAUUUUCAUCUAGUUCCAAAUCCAUAUAACUAAAUGAUGAUAUAUUAAAGAUACACUUGUCCAUCUUUUCUACAAGAAUGACAUGAGAGACUUUGUCAAUUCUUUGAUAAAAUCUAGAAAAACCAAGUGGUUCCAUUAGAGAAUGGCUGGAAAUAUUAAGAUAUCUGAAAUGAUCACAUGUAUUCACAUUAUUUGAAGUUAUAAUUAUAUAAAAUUUGCUGAUUGAUUCCAGCCAAAUGAAAACAAAUAAUGUGGUCACUUAAGAGGAUUCCUUAUUUGCGCUAAUCAGCACAAGACUGUAAUGGAAUAAUCCUGGACAGUAAGAAAUGAUGUUUAUUUCUGUAAACAGCAAAAUAUUUAUAGCAUACUUUUUGUGAUAACAAAGAAGUGGAAAUAAAGUAAAUGUCCAUAGAUUGGGAAAUGGCAAAACAAAUUGUGGUACAUGAAUGUAAUGGAAUAUUAUUGUGCUGUAAGGAGUGACAAAUGUGAUGAAUAUAGGAAAGAAUGGAAAGAUCUACAUAAAUUAAUACAAAGUGAAAAAAGUAGAGCCAAAAAUUAUAUACACAGUGAUUACAACAAUGUAUAUCAAAAGUUAACCUCAAAAAAAAGUAAAUGCUGCAAAAUUAUGAAGAGCAAACGUAGCGCUAAAGAAGGGAUAUAAAAAGAUCCCCCCACAUUGUAUAUAUUUUCAGACUUUUUCAACAUGAUGAUUAGUUUUUUAUUUUUUUUUUGUCUAAAAAUACUACUUGUUAUAGGAUGACUCUCUAAGAAGAGAAACAGGAGAGAGUCUGAGGAAAAUUCAGGUGAUAGAAAAAAGACAUCAAUAAAAUUUGUUUAAAUUUAAAAAGAAAUGAUUACAAGAAAUUCAAAGAAACAUGGGCAAAUUUGUAUGUAAUGAUAUAACUAUGAAAUAAAUAGAACCAAAAUAACAAUAUAUAACAUUUUGGUUUUAUAUCUAUCAUCUCCUAAAAUUUACUUUUAAAAAUAAAUAUUUUAUAUAUGUGUGUGUGUAUACAUAUACAUACACAAAACACUUUCUCCUAUGAUCUUCUUGGAGUAUAUACAGUGAAAUCUCAAUAUCAAUGAUUAUAGAUAUUUUAAAUAUAUUUUACAGAUAAUUCCAAUUGCUUUCCAGAAGGGUUAGACUAAGUAACAGCUUCAGUGAUAGUAUAUUGCUGUGCCUGCCUUUUCACAGUCCUUCCAGCAUUGACUGUUCCUAUCUUUUAACAUCUCUGCCAAUUUGUUUAGUGUGAAAUAAGAUUUUAGAGUUGUUUAGAUGUGCAUUUUCUCAUACUAUUCUUGAUUUGAGAGCAAUUGUUCAUAAGGCUGUUAAUAAUUUGUUGUUCUUCUCUUGAGAACUAUUUAUACAUAUCUUUUGGCCAUUUGUCUUUUGGGGAAUGCUUUCUAGUGUAGAUAUACACAAAUGUGUGUGUGUAUAUACAUUGUGUGUUGUGUAUAUGGAUAUUCAUACACACAUAUACAUACAUAUAUAUGUAUAUAUUCUCUUUAAAUCUUGAAUAUCAAACCCUUAUCAGAGAUAUCUGAUGUAGGCAUUUUUUCCUCAAACUGACAGUUUCUCUACUUAUUCUUGAUGAGCUGAUAUUCAUGCAAAAGGGUUUAAAUUUGUAUUGUUUAUUAUUUAUGAUGUUAUUAUAUCAUAAAUUUUAUCAUUAAGGAUUCUCCCCAUGGCUUUAUCUGUGAAUAAUAUCACACAUGGUUUUCUUCUAAUUUUUUAAAAUAGUGUGACUUUUAAUAUAAAUUAUAAAUGUAAAGAUUUUGACCUUAAACAUGUAAAAAAUAAGCAUAUUCACCUAUUAUAGAGAAGACACUCUACCAAACUCCUUUUGUCAUUCAAAUAUGGUCCUAAUAGUUAAAUCUGGGAGGAAUAAAGCAAAGAAAUAAAACUAUAGUUCAACUUUGCUAAUAAAAUGAAUACAAAUAUUUUAAAAUAACAUAUUCACAAAUAGAAUACAGAAAUGUAUCUAAAACAAUUUAUUAUUACUUAUGAUUAAGUUAUAUGUAUGCUAGCUAUGCAAGGAAAGUUCAACAUUCCAAAAGCAUUAUUUUAUUCUAUGUAUUUAUUCCAUUAUUUUAAUUAAUCAUAUAAACAACAAAAACAUGAUUCUCUUUUUUAAACGCUUUUGACUAAAAUAUUUCUUUCCAAACUUUUCUCCUUUCUCUACUCAUUUCUAUUAAAAACUAACAAUCAGAUGCCUAGGAAAGUCUUAUUUAAUAUAAAGAAAAAUAUAUUCCUAAAACUAGGAAAAACACUGUUGUUGAGGAAGAAAACAUUAGAAGCUUUUCCAAUUAGACUGUCCCUUCUCCUCCCUAUGAAUUGACAUAGUAUUAGAAAUGCUAGUAAUUGCAGUUAAACAAAAGAUUGAGAAAUUAAAGAUCUAAACAUCAUCAAAGAGGAGUCACAAGUAUUCCUUUUUGUAAAGUGUAUGCUUGUUUCUAUAGAAAACCCCUGAGAAUCAGCUAAGAAACUAAUUAAGAUAAUGAAUAGCUUCAGUAAAAUAACAUGACACAACAUUAUGUCCUUACCACUCAUCAGCAUUUCUGUACAACACUGGAAAAAAAAAACAGGAGGAAAUGUUAAGAAAAUAUAUUCAAAUUAACUCUAAAAUAUCUGGGAGUUAACCUAGCAAGACGUGCUUAAAACUUAUAUAAACAUGAUUACAAAAUGCUUAAUAAAAAUAAAGGAAGAUAAAUAUAAUUGGAGGACUACUCACUGUUCAUGUUAAGGCUAAGUACAGUACUGUGUAUUGGUUCUAAGAACAGUAAGGGCUAGGCAAUGGGGGUUAAGUGACUUGCCCAGGGUCACACAGUUAGGAAGUUUCUGAGGGCAGAUUUGAACCCAGGACCUCCUGUCUCUAGGCCUGGCUCUCAAUCCACUGAGCCAUCUACCUGCCCCCUAAGCCAAUAUUUUUUUAAUGGUAUUACUGCCUAAACUAGUUUGUAUAUUAAGUGCUAAACCAAUGAUGAAAAUGAGAAUGAAAAAAAAAUGAGAAAAGAGAAAAGAGGGAGCCUAUUAUUACCAGAGCUCAAAUUAUAAUAUAAAGCAUUAAUCAUCAAAACUAUUUGGUACUCAAUUACAAUUCCAGAAGAUUCAUGAUGGAACAUGCUGCCAAUCCCAAGGCACAGAGGUGAUGGACUAAGAAUGCAAAAUGAGACAUAUGUUUAUUUGGUUAUUGCCAAUGUGGGAAUCUGUUCUACUUGACCAUACAUGUUUAUAACAGGGCUUUUGCUUUUCUUGCUUUCUCAAUAUGGGGCAGAAAAAAAACUUGAGAGGAAGAGAAGGUAGAUUUUCACUUGAGAAAUAAUUUUUUAAAACUAUUUGGUACUGAUUUUUAAAAAUCGAUCAGUCCCUCAAAAAAAAAACCAAUUAUGAAGAAGACUCCUUACUUAAUAAGAAACUGCUAGAAAAAUUGAAAAUCAGUUUGAUAUAAAAUAAUGUUAAGUGUUACAUCAUAUAUUAUAUUAUAAUACUAUUACUAUUAAAGCAUAAUAUACUUAUCCAAAUUUGCAGGAUCCAAGUGAUCCAUAUGUAAAAAAAUUAUAUUAUUUAAAAAUUAAGAAUUUAACAAAAGGCUACGGACAUUUCCCUAUGUAAAGAAAAAAGAAAGAGAACUGCCAGUGAAAACAAUAAUCUACUAUGUGUGGAUUUUCUUAAAAGUAUAUUUCUAAUUUAACACAGUAAUUCCAAUACCGACCUGCUUGGCUAUGUCCACUUCUGAAUUUUCUCUUCUCUCUUCUAUAUUAUGCUUUGUAUAACUCUUUAUUUGUUUUUUUUGUUGUUGUUGUUGUUUUUAUUUAAAAUGUUUUCAUGUUUACAUGAUUCAUUUUCUUUCUCUCCCCUCUUCCCUCCCCCCUCCCAGGGCCAACAAGCAAUUUCACUGGGUUGUACAAAUGUUAUCACUUGAUACCUAUUUCCAUAUUAUUCAUUUUUGCUAUAGAGCAAUUUUUAAAAGCCUAAACCCCAAAUCACAUCUCCAUAUAUACAUGUGAUAAAUGAUGUCAUAUGUUUUGCUUUUGCAUUUCUACUCCCACAGUUCUUUCUCUCAAUAUGGAUAGCAUUCUUUCCCAUAAGUCCUUCAGGAGUAUCCUGGCUUGUUGCAUUGCUACUAGCAGCCAAGUCCCUUACACUGGAUUGUUCCACAAUGUUUUACUUUCUGUGUAAAAUGUUCUCCAGGUUCUGCUCCUUUCACUUUGCAUCAGUUUCUGGAGGUCAUUCCAGUUCACAUAGAAUUUCUCCACUUUAUUAUUCCUUUGAACACAAUAGUAUUCCAUCACCAACAUAUACCACAAUUUGUUUAGCUAUUCCCCAAUCGAGGGACAAAAAAAAAAUUUCCAGUUUUUGCCACCACAAAGAGCAGAGCUAUGAAAAUUUUUGUACAAGUAUUUUUCCUUAUUAUCUCUUUGGGGUAUAAACCCAGCAGUGCUAUAUGGCUGGAUCAAAGGGUAGACAGUCUUUUUUCACCCUUUGGGCAUAGUUCCAAAUUGCCCUCCAGAAUGAUUGGAUCAAUUCACAGCUCGACCCGCAAUGUAUUAAUGUCCCCACUUUGCCACAUCCCCUCCAACAUUCAGUACUUUCCUUUGCUGUCAUGGUAACCAAUCUGCUAGGUAUGAGGUGAUACCUCAGAGUUGUUUUGAUUUGCAUUUCUCUGCUUAUAAGAGAUUUAGAGCACUUUUUCAUGUGCUUAUCAAUAGUUUUGAUUUCUUUAACUGAAAAUUGCCUAUUCAUGUCCCUUGCCCAUUUUUCAAUUGGAGAAUGGCUUGAUUUUUUGUACAACUGGUUUAGCUCUUUAUAAAUUUGAGUAAUUAGACCUUUGUCAGAGGUUUUUGUUAUGAAGAUUGUUUCCCAAUUUGUUGCUUCCCUUCUAAUUUUGGAUGCAUUAGUUUUGGUUGUACAAAACCUUUUUAAUUUGAUGUAAUCAAAAUUAUUGAUUUUACAUUUUGUGAUUUUUUUCUAACUCUUGCUUGGUUUUAAAGUCUUCCCUUUCCCAAAGAUCUGACAAAUAUACUAUUCUGUGUUCACCUAAUUUGCUUAUAGUUUCCUUCUUUAUAUUCAGGUCAUUCACCCAUUCUGAGUUUAUCUUGGUGUAGGGUGUGAGAUGUUGACCCAAACCUAAUCUCUCCCAUACUGUCUUCCAAUUUUCCCAGCAGUUUUUAUCAAAUAGUGGAUUUUGGUCCCCAAAACUGGGGAUCUUUGGGUUUAUCAUAGACUGUCCUGCUGAAGUCAUUUACCCCAAGUCUAUUCCACUGAUCCUCCUUUUUGUCUAUUAGCCAGUACCAAAUUGUUUUGAUUACCACUGCUUUAUAAUAUAGUUUGAGAUCUGGGACUGCAAGUCCUCUUUCCUUUGCAUUUUUUUUCAUGAUUUCCCUGGAUAUCCUUGAUCUUUUGUUCUUCCAAAUGAACUUUGUUAUGUUUUUUUCUAUUUCCGUAAAGAAGUUUUUUGGUAGUUCAAUGGGUAUGGCACUAAAUAGAUAGAUAAGUUUGAGUAGGAUGGUCAUUUUUAUUAUGUUAGCUCGUCCCACCCAUGAGCAAUCAAUGUUUUUCCAAUUGUUUAGAUCUAGUUUUAAUUGUGUGGAGAAUGUUCUGUAGUUGUGUUCAUAUAGUUCCUGUGUUUGUCUCGGCAGAUAGAUUCCUAAGUAUUUUCUAUUGACUUGGGUGAUUUUAAAUGGAAUUUCUCUUUCUAAUUCUUGCUGCUGAACUGGGUUGGAGAUAUAUAGAAAUGCUGAUGACUUAUGUAGGUUUAUUUUGUAUCCUGAAACUUUGCUAAAGUUGUUGAUUAUUUUGAUUAGCUUUUUGGCUGAUUCCCUAGGAUUCUUUAAGUAAAUCAUCAUAUCAUCCGCAAAGAGUGACAGCUUGGUCUCCUCUUUGCCAAUUUUAAUACCUUCAAUUUCUUUUUCUUCUCUAAUUGCUACUGCUAGUGUUUCUAGUACAAUGUUAAAUAAUAGCGGUGAUAAUGGGCAUCCUUGUUUGACUCCUAAUCUUAUUGGGAAGGCUUCAAGUUUUUCCCCAUUGCAGAUGAUGUUUGCUGAUGGUUUUAGAUAUAUACUGUUUAUUAUUUUUAGGAAAGGCCCUUCUAUUCCUAAACUUUCUAGUGUUUUCAAUAGGAAUGAGUGUUGUAUUUUGUCAAAGUCUUUUUCUCCAUCUAUUAAGAUAAUCAUGUGGUUUUUGUCGGUUUGCUUGUUGAUAUGGUCAAUUAUGUGGAUGAUUUUCCUAAUAUUGAACCAUCCUUACAUUCCUGGUAUGAAUCCUACCUGGUCAGAGUGGAUAAUCCUUGUGAUGACUUGCUGGAGUCUUUUUGCUAGUAUCUUAUUUAAGAUUUUUGCAUCUCUAUUCAUUAAGGAGAUUGGUCUAUAGUUUUCUUUCUCUGUUUUUGACCUGCCUGGCUUUGGGAUCAUGUUUGUGUCGUAAAAUGAAUUUGGUAGAACUCCUUCUUGGCUUAUUCUGUCAAAUAGUUUGUAUAAUAUUGGGAUUAGUUGUUCUUUGAAUGUUUGAUAGAAUUCAUUUGUGAAUCCAUCUGGACCUGGGGAUUUUUUCUUAGGGAGUUCUUUGAUGGCUUGUUCAAUUUCUUUCUCUGAUAUGGGGUUGUUUAGGUAAUUUAUUUCUUCCUCUGUUAGUCUAGGCAAUUUAUAUUUUUGUAAGUAUUCAUCCAUUUCACCUUGAUUGCCAUAUUUUUUGCCAUAUAAUUGGGCAUAGUAGUUUUUAAUGAUUGCCUUAAUUUCCUCUUCAUUAGAGGUGAGGUUUCCCUUUUCAUCUUGGAUACUGACAAUUUGUUUUUUUUCUUUCCUUUUUUUAAUUAAACUGACUAGUACUUUAUCUAUUUUAUUUGUUUUUUUCAAAGUACCACCUUCUAGUCUUGGAAUUUUUCUGUUUUGCAAACAACCACAUCCUUUAGGCAGAUCUUCCUAUCAGUAGAAGCCCUGCCUGCUCCAAGAUAUCAGUGUAAAACCUAUCCUGAAGAGGAACACAGCUAGAAGGGAAAGUAAAAGGUCAUCACAUCCAUCCUUCUACCUCUGGGGGAAGCCAUAUCUGAAAUUUGCUAGUAAUUGAAGUCAUUCUCAUUUUUAAAGGAAAAUAGAUUCCAAAUCUCUGUCUCUAUCUCUCUCACUUUCUCUCUAUUGCCCUUUCUCCCUCUCUCAAUAUAUAUGUAAAUAUAUAUAUAUAUAUAUUACUCCUUUCCCUCCCCCUCCAGUACCACAGCUUCAGUGAAUAAUAUCUAUAUAUGUAUAAUUUGUAUAUAUUUUAUAAAUUUAAUGAUACAUUCAGAAAAACAAACUAAAAAAAAUAAAAACAAAAUUUAGAAAAAUAAGUUCCAAGUGUGUAUAUAUUACUUUAACAAAUAAUAACCAUACCUUUUUCUGCCUAUCCUUCUGAUCAUUUACUUUUAUUUUUUAAAUUCUGCUCCUUAUAAUUUUUAUAUAGCAGGAUUGGCAUCUAUAUUGUUGUUCUGAUUCUGAUGUCUAUGCUACAUAAUACUUUAGAUAAGCCUUCCUCAUGGCACAGUUCUAGUUCUAAUUCAAUAACCAUUUAUCAAUGUCCUGCUAAGUGCUAGGAUUACAAAAUCAACACAGCCUUCGCAUUCAAAGAGUUUUAUUCAUAAGAAAAGGUACAAUAUCUACACAGAUAGUAAUUUGAGGAGAGAAUUCUAAGAACUGGGUGUAGGGUGGGAGAAAGGAGACAGGGAGAAAAAAGGAGUAGAAUCAAGGAAGGCUUAAUACAGAAGAUAGAAGCUAUGCCUUGAGGAAAGAUGGGAAUUCUGAAAGAAAGGAGGAAGGAGUAUAUUCUAGGAAUGGAGGUUAGGAGAUGGAAUGACACUUGGAGAAAAACUCAGUAAAUUUUGGCUGGAAUACAAUGGGUGUGAAGAGGAAGUAACAGUGAAAUAAGGCUAGAAAAUUGUGUUGGAACCAGACUGUAGAGGACUGUAAAUGCCAGGCUAAUGAAUUAAUGUCCUAAAAAAGAAUGUCUUAAUCUGGAGUUCAUGAAGUGUGGGGGUCCAAUUUUAGGGGGGAUCCUUCAAUUUAGAUGAGGAAAAAAAUCACGUUUAUCUUCACUAAUUUCUUACAGAAAUGAGCAUUCCCUUCAGUUACGAACAUGGGUAAAACAACAUUAGUCUAAGAAGAAUUCCAAGGGCUUCAUCAAAUUGCCCAAGGGAUUCACUAGAGAAAAAAGAUUAAGGACUCCAAUCCUAGAGAUAUUUAGGAACCACUGAAGGAUUCUGAGUAGGAGACUAAUAUGAUCAGAAUUGUUUUGGUAACUAUGCGAAAGAGAGAUUACAGAGAAGAAAGACUGAAUUAAAAGGCUAUUAUAAUAGUCCAGGCGAAAAGUGAUCAGAGGCAGGAAUAGUUUUUGAGAGAGGAGAUAUAUUCUUGUGGUAUUAUGGAGGUAGAAUCAGCAAGACUUGGCAGUGGUUAAGAUUAUCAAUAAUAGAGCAGAAAGAAUCAUGGAUGACUUUGAGGUUAUAAAGCUUGAUGACCGUGAACAUGGUGCUUCCCUUAACAGAAACCAAGAAGUUUGGAGGUGGGUCAGAUUUAUAAAGGAAGAUGGAGAAUUGGGGUUUGGACCCGGUGAGUUUGAGGUGCUCUUAGGACUUCCUUCUGGAAAUAUCUAGCAGGCAGCUGGAGAUGUUAGGAGAGAUUUGAGCUAGAUAUAGAGAUUUGAGAGUCUGAGUAUUGCUGAUAGUUGAAAAGGUAAGGGAUGGAAAGUACAGAAAAAGAAUGGAAAAGGGUGUCUGAACACAGACUUGAGACAUUUAGUGGGCAGGAGGUAGGUGAUACCUAAUCAAAGACUAGGAAGGAGCCAAUAGAUAGAGAGGAGGAGGAGGAGAUUCAGAAGUACAAUAGAAUUGAGAGGAGGAGAAAGUGUCCAGAAGGAGGUCUGAUUUUGGCAGAGGAGGUGAUCAAUAUAGUAAAAAGUUACAGAAAGGUCAUAUGUUAACAGUUUAUUCAGCUAUUUCCUAUCUAUUAGCAUAUGGGUCAUUUAGAAAAUUAUUUAUUUUUUAAAACCAUUAGCUUUCAUCUUAGAAUCAAUACUGUAUAUUGGUUACAAGACAGAAGAGCAGUAAGGGCUAGGCAAUGGAGGUUAAGGGACUUGUCCAAGGUCACACAACUAGAAAGUAUCUGAGACCAGAUUUGAACCCAGAACAUCCCAUCUCCCAGUCUGGCUCUCAAUCUACUGAGCCACCUAGCUCCCCCUUCAUAUGGGUCAUUUAAAAAAGGAGUUUCUGUUGUUAUUGGACAGGUGGGAUUAUUAGUUUUUUAUGGAAAUAUAAAAGCUUCUUUUGGCUCCUGUGUUACCCCUUGUUACUGAGUGCACUGGUUUCUUGGUGGGAAAUAUAACACAACUAGAAUCAAUGGUUCAUGGAAGGUCCUUGCAGGCCUCUGAUAAACAGAAAUCUCUUUGGAAUUCUUACAUUCUUUGGUUGUUUUUCUUGUGACUCUCAGGUAACCAGACAAGGUAAAAUGGCUGCAGGGCUUUUCAAUUCAGGUACUAACAUUUUGGAGCUACUAAUACACUGUUGGUGGAAUUUUGAAUUGGUCCAACCAUUCUAGAAAGCAAUUUAAAAUUAUGGUGAUGUAAAACCCAGAUCGAAUUGCUUAUCAGUUCUGGUAUGAGGGAGGAAAGAAAGGAGGGAGACAAUUUGGAUCAUAUAACUUCCAGAAACUUAUAUGGAAAUUUGUUAUUACAUGUGAUUGGUUUAAAAAAAAGAAUUAUGGUGAAAAAGUGACUAAAAUGUCUGUACCCUUUGACUCAGAGAGGAGGUCAAUGAUAAAAAGAAAGGUUUCAUGGACACCAAAGUAUUUUAUUCUUUUGAUGAGAGCAAAGAGUUAGAAAGAAAGUAUAUAGCCAUGGUUUGAUGAAUGACCUAACAAAUUAUAAUACAUUAAUAUUACACAAUGUUAUUGUGUCAUAAGAAAUGACAAAUAUGAGGAAUUCAGGGAAGCACAGAAAGACUUUCAAGAACUGACACAAAGUAAAUGGAACCAUGGAAACAGAAUAAUUGAUGACUACCACAAUAAACUAAAUUGUGGCUAAAACAAUUGGCCACUCUGUCGAUAUAAAAAUAGAGGCUAAGCUUGACCCAAGAGAAGUCAAGAACAUCCUUUCAUCAUAGAGGGGAAAUACUAUGAUUACAAAACAUUUCAUAUGCUGCCAGAAGAUUGAUGUCUUGAUUGGUUUUACUGAAUUGUCCCCUUUCUCAUUUUUUCAUUUAUAAGGGAUGGAUUUGGGGGAGAGGGGAGAGAUAUGUUUGGUAAUGAAGAUGAUACAGAAACAAAUAAUAACUGUAAAAAACUAAGAAAAGCAUAAAAAUCUUAGAGUUAGAAGGGACUAUAUAGAUAAUGAGUUCUCUCUAUCACUGUGGGUAUACCAAAUUGGGAUGCUGAAUUGUUUGAGAUGUCCUAGAGAAGAUUCCUUGUAGAAAUAGAUUAGACAAAAAUCAAAAGCAAUUAAGUGCCUCCUAUAUUCCAGGCCCUGUUCUAGGUACUGAGGAUACAAAGAUAAAAGUAAGACAGUUUUUGUCUUCAAAGAAUUUACAUUCUCAGGGUUCCCUUCCAGUUCUGAGAUUCUGAGUCUAUUGGUGAGUCUAGUUUCCUUCAUUUUACAGAUCAUAUGAUACAGAUAUGAUAGAGCUGGAAGGAACUUUAGAUGUUCUCUAAUCCAGGCCUCUCACUUUACAGCCAAAGGAACUGAGGACCAAAUAAGUAAAAAAAAAGUUAUUUAAUGGUAAAUAAAGUUUAUUGUAAUAUGCAAUGAUGCCCAGAUAAGGGGAUAGGCUGUGGAUAUGGAAGUGUGACUACCUGAGGCUUCCUGUCCCUGGGAAUUGAAUCAGAUAUUGGCCCUCAUGAGCCCCAGGAACCUGAGUCCCUUAGAGACAGAAUGACCAAGUUGGAAUUUAGGGAGAGAGGGUCAGGGAUUGGAGGGCAGAGAAGAUGACAGAGAAUCCUAUUUUCUUCUCUCUCCUCUCCUUCUAUAGGGGACUUUGCUCUCUAGACUACCUUCCCAGGAAGGGAGAACAGUUAGGAAAUCAGGGACAUAAGUGACAGGGCCAGCAGAACAAGGAACAAUCUCCAGAGACUUCUUAGAACCAUCAAGUCCUAAUGAGGAAUCACAGCACCCCUUCCCCUACCUCAGCUCCCAAGCUCACCCACUUACCAAAAGUAAUAUGGAUUAGUGACUGAGCCUAAAACAUAGAAUUAUAAAUAUAGAAGAGACUUUAGAGAGGAUAUAAAAAUAAUUUUUUUAUUUUAAUAACAAAUUUCCACAUACAUUUUUCAGUUAUACGAGUCAUGCUUUCUUCCCUCCCUUCUCCCCUCCCCACUCCUGGAGUAGACAAGCAAUUGUCUGGAUUACAUGUAUUAUCACAACUUAUUUUCUAGAAGAGGAAACUGAAGCAUCUGAUAGCACAGUGAACAGAGUGCUGGACCUGGAGUUAGGAAGCUCUGAGUUCAAAUGUGAUCUCAGAAACUUGCCAGCUGUGUGACUCUGAGUAGGCUAUUUAACUUUUGUUUGCCUCAGUUUCUUCAAUUGUAAAAUGAGGAUAAUAAAAGCACCCAACUCAUGUAGACUCUAAAUGAACAUUCCAGUGCAAACAUCAACAACAUGGCAAUGGGUUCUGAUCAAGGACACAUGUAAUUCCCAGUGGAAUUGCACAUCAGCUAUGGGAGGGAUGGGGGGGAGAGGAGGGAGGGAAAGAAUAUGAUUCUUGUAACCAAGGAAUAAUCUUUAAAUUGACUAAUUAAAUAACAUUUUCAAAAAAAUAAAUAAAUAAAAGCUCCCAACUCCCAGAGUUGUUGUGAGGACAGGAUGAAAUAAUAUUUGGAAAGCAUUUAGCACAGAAGCUGCCACAGUAACUAGAAAGUCCUUAAUAAUUAUUCCCUUUCCAGAGUCUCAUGGCCCAGUCCACUCACCACUAUGCUUUCCCAUCACAAUACAACAAUGCCUCUCACCCAGACACCAGAGGGUAGCCUUUGUUCCUCACCUAAAUCUAACUGGAUAUGUGGGCUAGGGGAGGGUAGAGACAUCCAAGUUAGCCUCAAUGAGCCUUGAGUGACAGCACCAUUUGCAUCUAUAGCAGACAGGCCAAGAAUCAGUCAUGCUGCAUGCUGGCUUACACAAGGGUAGCAUUACCUCCAUGGAAAACUUCCUGCAGAAGCUGAGAGGGAGGAGGCAACAGUUGGGGGGAAGGAGUGGUUGGCAGUGAUUUGGGAGACUCCAAACUAGUUAUUUGGAAGACAUGCCACCGUUCAAAUUCCCAGCAGCACCUCCUCCCACAGGUCCCGGCCUGGAGCUGGAACAGCCUUGCAGACCCUGUCCCCAGACUACCCACAAGAUCUGAUGUUUUAAUUCAUUCUAUCCCUGGCCCCGCUCCACCCCACUCCCCUUUUGCCGGAAGUCUUCCCCUCCCCAAUUUCCCUGCAUACCCUAAGUCCACUCCCAGGCACGCUACCCCUGUGGAAUCUUGUCUUGCUUAGAACCCAAUGAUUCCUGCCUCGACAUGUGAAGACGCAGGCGAGCCAGCCCCGGGCCUCCUGGGUGGCGUUUUGUGCUGGAGGAGGGGUGGGGUGGGGGGAGGGGGAAGAUUCUCAUUCCGGCCCCUGGCUAGGAGGGAAUAACUGAAGGUCUUCCGUUCAGAGAGGAUUCUCCCGCCUCUCCUUCCCUCAGCCCUGGCAAGCAUUCUUGACUAUCUUCCAGUCCUCAUCCAACAGACUCAGACCUCUUGACAGACACUCCCCAGUUGGACAGUUCUUCUUCGGUGUGGCCUCCUUGGCCACACCCUGCCGGGCGGGGGCGGGGGCGGGGGUGCUGAAAGGAAGUAACUAAUUAGCAAGAGGGGAGCACGAAAGACGAGGGACUUCCGACCACAAGCCAACGGUCAGGUACUGGAUCUACAGCUUUGGUUUGCCAGGAAAAACUAAGGAAGGCGAGGGGAAGGCUCCAUUAGAAAUGAUUUCUGGGCAGGGACUUUCGGACUGAACAACUCUUCUUUUGGACAUCAUGACCGUGGCUGGAGUGCAGAAGCUUAUCAAACGACGAGGCCCUUAUGACAUGAGCCCAGGCCUCCUGGACUACCUCACCAUGGACAUUUAUGCCUUCCCAGCUGGCCAUGCCAGU